GGACCAUUAGCUCAGUUGGUAGAGCACCUGACUCUUAAUCAGGGUGUCCUGGGUUCGAGUCCCCGAUGGUCCACCA
Molecule: transfer RNA, 76 nt
Filed under: Caloramator mitchellensis
Lineage: Bacteria; Bacillati; Bacillota; Clostridia; Eubacteriales; Clostridiaceae
Also listed under: 2 other names
Description: tRNA-Lys
Rfam family: tRNA
About the family: Transfer RNA (tRNA) molecules are approximately 80 nucleotides in length. Their secondary structure includes four short double-helical elements and three loops (D, anti-codon, and T loops).
Source: RNAcentral